Molecule: ribosomal RNA, 414 nt
Filed under: uncultured bacterium
Lineage: Bacteria
Description: bacterial SSU rRNA
Rfam family: Bacterial small subunit ribosomal RNA
Source: RNAcentral
GAUGAACGCUGGCGGUAUGCCUAACACAUGCAAGUCGUACGAGAGUUUUUAACUCUAGUGGCGGACGGGUGAGUAACACGUGAGAAUUUGCCUUUAGGAGGGGGACAACAAUUGGAAACGAAUGCUAAUACCCCAUAUGCUUUCGAGUGAAAUGGAUUUUAUCCGCCUAGAGAGAAGCUCGCGGCUGAUUAGCUUGUUGGUAAGGUAAGAGCUUACCAAGGCGACGAUCAGUAUCUGGUUUGAGAGGACGAUCAGACACACUGGAACUGAGACACGGUCCAGACUCCUACGGGAGGCAGCAGUGAGGAAUAUUGGUCAAUGGGCGGAGCCUGACCAGCCAAGUCGCGUGAAGGAGAGGAUCUAAUGGUUCGUAAAACUUCUUUUGUCAGGGGAUAAAGUGCAGGACGUGUCCUG